AUGGUGCUCGGCGGCUGCGGCAACGGAGCUGAUGGAGCACGAUCCGACCAGUUCAACGGAGGCAGUAGCACGGGGCAGCGGCAGCAGCAUGGAGGGCCUCCGCUUGACUGGGAAGAGUGGGUACUAGGUUCGUUAAGGCCACUUUAUAAGGCCAUGAGGUAUGCUGAUACGCAGAAACAAUGCACUCUUUCUGGCUUAAAAAAAAGUAUGAUGCUCGCUAUACAACGGAUGGAAGCACAUCUAGGCCCUACAUCAAGGUUGUACCUUAGUUUCAUGCGCAAGGUGGGCAAGAGGAUAGAUGCAAUGGAAGAAGAUACGUUUAUGGUUGCAGCUGCCGUCCUUGAUCCAUAUACACAUUACAGCCUCAACCUUUGCAACCAUACAAAUUAUGCUACUGCACUAACAGAUGCGAUAGCGAAGAUAUUAGAUCCAAAGAGUGCUCUUUCAGCCAUUGAUGAAGUUAGUAAGUUUAGGGAGUGCCAAGGAAGGUUUGGGACCAGAUUAGCACAAGAAGCUGCGGCGAGAAUGGAGCCAAGUAAGUCGUGGUCUUUUGGUUUUAGAAUUUCCAUUUCCUUUUGUUUUGUAAUUCUGAAAAUUUCAUUGGUGAUAUCUUGCAGCCCAAUGGUAGUUUCAAUUUGGAGGGGAUGUUCCUGCAUUGCAGAAGUGUGCAAUGAGAAUUUGCUCACAAUGUGUCUCAUCUAG
RNAcentral lists this ribosomal RNA (702 nucleotides) under Triticum aestivum (bread wheat). RNAcentral describes it as "partial small subunit ribosomal RNA". Lineage: Eukaryota; Viridiplantae; Streptophyta; Magnoliopsida; Poales; Poaceae. The record is from RNAcentral.